AGUGAACGCUGGCGGUAGGCCUAACACAUGCAAGUCGAACGGCAGCACAGUAAGAGCUUGCUCUUACGGGUGGCGAGUGGCGGACGGGUGAGGAAUACAUCGGAAUCUACUUUUUCGUGGGGGAUAACGUAGGGAAACUUACGCUAAUACCGCAUACGACCUACGGGUGAAAGCAGGGGAUCUUCGGACCUUGCGCGAUUGAAUGAGCCGAUGUCGGAUUAGCUAGUUGGCGGGGUAAAGGCCCACCAAGGCGACGAUCCGUAGCUGGUCUGAGAGGCUGAUCAGCCACACUGGAACUGAGACACGGUCCAGACUCCUACGGGAGGCAGCAGUGGGGAAUAUUGGACAAAGGGCGCAAGCCUGAUCCAGCCAUACCGCGUGGGUGAAGAAGGCCUUCGGGUUGUAAAGCCCUUUUGUUGGGAAAGAAAAGCAGCAGGUUAAUACCCCGCUGUUCUGACGGUACCCAAAGAAUAGGCACCGGCUAACUUCGUG
RNAcentral lists this ribosomal RNA (492 nucleotides) under uncultured bacterium. Its description in RNAcentral is "partial 16S ribosomal RNA". It matches the Rfam family "Bacterial small subunit ribosomal RNA", at positions 29 to 507 of the family's 1533-position model. The record is from RNAcentral.